This 318-nucleotide unclassified non-coding RNA is filed under the name plant metagenome. RNAcentral describes it as "partial contains 5.8S ribosomal RNA, internal transcribed spacer 2, and large subunit ribosomal RNA". The stretch from base 1 to 105 matches the Rfam family "5.8S ribosomal RNA", at positions 50 to 154 of the family's 154-position model. The record is from RNAcentral.
GAAAUGCGAUAAGUAAUGUGAAUUGCAGAAUUCAGUGAAUCAUCGAAUCUUUGAACGCACAUUGCGCCCAUUAGUAUUCUAAUUGGCAUGCCUGUUCGAGCGUCAUUUCAACCCUCAAGCCUUAGUUGCUUGGUGUUGGGAGCUUAUCCUGCCGCAAGGCGGGACAACUCCUUAAAUUUAUUGGCGGAGUCGCGGUGACCCCAAGCGCAGUAAUUCCUUUUCUCGCUUUAGGUGUUAACGCUGGCUUCUAGCCAUUAAACCCCCUAAUUUUCUAAUGGUUGACCUCGGAUCAGGUAGGACUACCCGCUGAACUUAAGC